CUUCCGAGGGCACUGUAUUAGAAAGAACCGAGUACCCUGCAGUUAGAAAGAUGCUGCUUGACUUGGACAUCUCCCAUGGAUACAAGAGAGAAAUCAGCAAGUGUGCUUGGGGAGGUGCCACUACUGGAUGGGAAUCUGAGAGUUACCAAUGGCUUGAGUCCUCUAAGCUCUCUCUUCCUUCACUCUUCCCUCAACUCCCACACCUUCCAAUACACUCCUCACCAAGUAAGACUGCAAGGUGUAGACACACAUGGAUGGUGUGAACGUCAAAGGAGGGGCAGUUUCGGAUGAUGAGCUGACUCAAGUCCUGCAGCGUGGCCUGCUCCACAGGAGAGGGCCUAGGUUGAGACACCAAGAGCUGGCCCAGACGACGAAGUGCCACAGGGUAGUGAUGAGCUCGAACCUUGGUGGGGUUCUGACUCAGCCAUCGCAGCAGCUCCCCAGGGCUCCGUGCCUGCUCCAGAAGCCGUUGAAGGCCUUGCACAGGGCCUCCUCCAAAAGGCCGGUCCCCGGACUUGCUGGGUCCCAAACAACAGGGCUGUACUGGCGGGAUGAGCAGCAAACCAGACAGCCGAGCAGGGGAAGUCUGGGCAGAGAGCAGGAUUCGAAGCAUGGAGCUGGGUGGUGGAGACCCUGAGGGGGUGGCCCAGAAAACCGGGUGAGGUUUCCUCCAAGGGGAAAUAUGCUAUCUAGUCCUUACCCAACUCCCCAUCCAAAGGGCCUGAGGUAAAAAAAAAAAAAAAAAA
RNAcentral lists this long non-coding RNA (746 nucleotides) under Rattus norvegicus (Norway rat). Its description in RNAcentral is "long non-coding RNA NONRATT021106". Lineage: Eukaryota; Metazoa; Chordata; Mammalia; Rodentia; Muridae. The record is from RNAcentral.